Molecule: long non-coding RNA, 2102 nt
Organism: Triticum aestivum (bread wheat)
Lineage: Eukaryota; Viridiplantae; Streptophyta; Magnoliopsida; Poales; Poaceae
Exons: 6
Source: RefSeq, a predicted model, not a curated record
GCGAUGAGAGUCGUCUCGCCGGACGCGGGGGCCCACCACAACCCCCAGCCUCUCUCCACUCUGCUUCGUCAUUUUGAGGCGCGUUGCCGGAGGUCCGCCGGAGAUUGGGAAGGCAUUGUAGAAGCGGGAGGAGAGAACCCCCUACAUAAGGAGGAUAGAGGGGCUAGAGCUCCGCGCGCAGUGACCACUAGGCGGAGGCGGAAGGGUGGCGUCCGGGGCCGUCGCUUCUCUGCGUGCCGCGUCCACGAAGCGACGGAUCGAACGGGAGGGACACCGCACGUCUGUGCAGCUCGACUCCUAGCGGCGAAGAGCGAGAGCCAGAAGCGCCAUCGUCAGCGGUCGAGAAAUCAGGCCUCAGAUCGCCGGGGGGCGCAGUUAGGCCGUGUCUGGCCGCCGGAGGCUGUCGCGCUCGUACAGCUCAUACUCUCUGCUAGCUUGGUGAGCUCCUCGUCUUCAUGAGUACCCCGACUUCCUCGCGUCUCACCCGAACUCCAGCGGAAGCUAACUGCCAUGUAAUCGUUGAUGCCACAGACAAGAUGCAGUUAACAACAAGAUAUUGCAUUGAUGUGUGCACUCACAGUUCCAUCUGUUUGGUCAAUUCACCAGUUCUCCUUCCCCAGUUAUUGCUGCUUCCAAUUUCCAUGUCGACACUUCUGCUAACCGCCAGUACAUCAUUAAGCAAGCAAAAGGCCUCACUAAAUUCAAAGUUAAAGCAACAUUUUUGAGGUUUUGUGCACACGCCCAAGCAAGAAGGUCCAACACCCAUUUUCAGUAAAAUCAAUACUAGCUGCUCAUGUCGGAAAAACAAGGGGAAAACACUGGAAAAAUAGUUGCAAUCAAGAUGAAUAAGGCUUUUGUAAAAGUGAAGGUGUUUGAGAGGGCACAUCAAGAUAGAAGCUCACCUCUCAGGUCCAUGGCCUCCAAAAUGGGGGCAACAGUUGUGGCAAUGGAGGAGAGGACAGAUGGAGAAGGGCAUGUCAAGGGGGGAGGUUUGGGAGUCUGCGACUGGGAAGGGGAAGGAGGAUUUGGUGCAUCGGCAUGAGCAGCAGUUACGAUUGUGACAGACUCGUCCCUGGGGGCCAUGUGCGUGAGGCGUUUCUUUCCUUUUUUGGUUUGCUAGCUGUAUCCGGGGAGAGGUCCACUACCAAUUUUGGGGUGUGUGCUCUGGACCGCUAGCCAGCCAACGGUUGCUGGCUAGUCGUGUCCAAUAGUAAAAAUUUCAUAAAAAGGAAAUUUCCUAAGGAGGAAUGAAUUAAUCAAACAAAAACUUAAACAAAAUCAAAAUAUGAACUUUUCUAUAAGAAUGAAUUAGUGGUUUUGGUAUUACCCAUUAAGAAGAAAGAAAAUCAAAAAAUAAAAUCAAAACAAUGGGAUUAUCUAAGGAAUAAUAAAUUGUCACAUUGGUGUUACCCUUUAAUAAGAAAUAAAAUAAACUAAAAACUCAAACAAAAAUUGACAAAAAUUGCACUUUUAAAAUAUAUGCAAGAAUAAACAUAUAAUAGCGAUGUCUUUGCAAAAAAAAAUCCUAAGAAGGGAUGAGUUAGUGGCAUUGGUAUUGCCCAUAAAGAGGAAAGAAAAAUAUAACGGUAACUAAAACAAAAUUAAAAUAUAAUGGCCAACCGUGUGAGUGCCUAGUGGGUUCUUCCUCAUAGGGUUUUGCGAGGGAGGAGGCAAGAUAGUGUUAUGACUGUGGUUAGGUAAGUGAUUAGAGUAGUUGCUUUAUAAUGUUUCUUUACCUUCAUAAACUCUCUCAUCUCGUGCUUGACACCGCUAAAUCACAUAGCCUCUUCUUUGACAAUGUUGCAUGCUGGCUUAGGUCUGAUGCAAGUCUUCAAGAAUACACAACAUUGUUCAUAGGACUAUCCUACGAUGUUUAAGACUCACCAUUUCUAUAAACAAUCUACUCCAUAGGACUAAUCCUAUGAUGCAGACCCUAGGUGGCUGCCCGAGACCUUGUGGGGGUGGGAUCGUCUGCUUUUCCAUUUUUAGCCUCUUAGGCACUUACAUCAUGUUUGUAUUCAGACCUACCAUGUUUCCUGCUAUGUAUGAAUGUUAUGUUGAGCCAUGAGGUUCUAGUUGUAAUAAAUUGGAUCUUGACUCAU